This 71-nucleotide transfer RNA is filed under the name Daphnia magna. It matches the Rfam family "tRNA". From Rfam's summary of the family: Transfer RNA (tRNA) molecules are approximately 80 nucleotides in length. Their secondary structure includes four short double-helical elements and three loops (D, anti-codon, and T loops). Further hydrogen bonds mediate the characteristic L-shaped molecular structure. tRNAs have two regions of fundamental functional importance: the anti-codon, which is responsible for specific mRNA codon recognition, and the 3' end, to which the tRNAs corresponding amino acid is attached (by aminoacyl-tRNA synthetases). tRNAs cope with the degeneracy of the genetic code in two manners: having more than one tRNA (with a specific anti-codon) for a particular amino acid; and 'wobble' base-pairing, i.e. permitting non-standard base-pairing at the 3rd anti-codon position. Lineage: Eukaryota; Metazoa; Arthropoda; Branchiopoda; Diplostraca; Daphniidae. The record is from Rfam by way of RNAcentral.
GUUUCCGUGGUGUAAUGGUUAUCACACUAGACUUUGACUCUGAUAAUUUGAGUUCUAUUCUCAGUUAAACG